AGUCGCCACGGGAAUACGUAGGUGGCAAGCGUUGUCCGGAAUUAUUGGGCGUAAAGGGCUCGCAGGCGGUUUCUUAAGUCUGAUGUGAAAGCCCCCGGCUCAACCGGGGAGGGUCAUUGGAAACUGGGAAACUUGAGUGCAGAAGAGGAGAGUGGAAUUCCACGUGUAGCGGUGAAAUGCGUAGAGAUGUGGAGGAACACCAGUGGCGAAGGCGACUCUCUGGUCUGUAACUGACGCUGAGGAGCGAAAGCGUGGGGAGCGAACAGGAUUAGAUACCCCGGUAGUCCCUGUCUCUUAUACA
RNAcentral lists this ribosomal RNA (301 nucleotides) under uncultured bacterium. RNAcentral describes it as "partial 16S ribosomal RNA". It matches the Rfam family "Bacterial small subunit ribosomal RNA", at positions 510 to 808 of the family's 1533-position model. The record is from RNAcentral.